RNAcentral lists this ribosomal RNA (802 nucleotides) under Mycena zephirus. RNAcentral describes it as "eukaryotic LSU rRNA". The stretch from base 273 to 426 matches the Rfam family "5.8S ribosomal RNA". Lineage: Eukaryota; Fungi; Basidiomycota; Agaricomycetes; Agaricales; Mycenaceae. The record is from RNAcentral.
GUCGUAACAAGGUUUCCGUAGGUGAACCUGCGGAAGGAUCAUUAUUGAAUACGAUUGGUACUGAUGCUGGCUCUUCACUGAGCAUGUGCUCGUCCAUCUAUUUAUCUUCUCUUGUGCACAUCUUGUAGUCUUGAAUGAAACCUCUCGCAGUCAAUGCGGUUUGGGAGAUGCUAGCCCUUCUCCUGCUUCUUCAAGGCUAUGUUUUCAUAUACACUAUAAAGUUACAGAAUGUCUUUUAACGAUUGUGCUUGUCGCAGUCAUUAAACCUAUACAACUUUCAGCAACGGAUCUCUUGGCUCUCCUAUCGAUGAAGAACGCAGCGAAAUGCGAUAAGUAAUGUGAAUUGCAGAAUUCAGUGAAUCAUCGAAUCUUUGAACGCACCUUGCGCCCUUUGGUAUUCCGAAGGGCAUGCCUGUUUGAGUGUCAUUAAAUUAUCAACCUUGCUUGCUUUUACUAGCUUGAGUGAGGCUUGGAUGUGAGGGCUUGCUGGCUUCCUUCAGUGGAUGGUCUGCUCCCUUUAAAUGCAUUAGUGGGAUCUCUUGUGGACCGUCACUUGGUGUGAUAAUUAUCUAUGCCAUUUGACUUUGAAGCAAACUUAUGGGAACCUGCUUACAACCGUCUUCGGACAACUUUUGACAUUUUGACCUCAAAUCAGGUAGGACUACCCGCUGAACUUAAGCAUAUCAAUAAGCGGAGGAAAAGAAACUAACAAGGAUUCCCCUAGUAACUGCGAGUGAAGCGGGAAAAGCUCAAAUUUAAAAUCUGGCGGUUCUUGUAGCCGUCCGAGUUGUAAUUUAGAGAA